UUCUUCUCCUGUCUUUUUCUCUGUCGCUUUUGUUUUCAGAUCCAAAAUUUUUUAAAGUGUCUAGACACACAAAACUCAUCUUUUCUCUCGUAUCUCCAGUUUCCUUCUCCAUACAGAUACAUGGAAGGUCACGAGACAAGUCACAACAACAGAGGAGGAGCAUCCCAUCUACUCUAUUAUCUCUCUCCACCGCUCUUUGUCUCUCUCUCAGUGUCCUGCGGUGACGGAGAUUGAACCGUGAUGCCUCCUCUCUGUUCUGUGACGAAGUGACGCCUCCUCCCCUACUUUGUGACAGAUCUUUUCUUCUCCCUCGUCUGUCAAUUUCUGAUAUCUUUCGUUUCACAGAAUCAGAGCAAGGCCGGAGAAGACAGAGCAGCGGCGUCGGAGAAGACAGAGCAGCGGCGCCGGGGAAGACAGAGCAGCGGCGACAGCAGCGGCGUCGGAGAUGGUACCGAAGCGGGGCUGGUUGACGGCGUAGGUUAAAGCAGAGCUUGGUUUGACAGCUGAAUUAGGUUUAGCUAAAGUCAAUUUGUUUAGUUAGGGUUUAGUUAAUCAGCCAAUUGGUAAUUGUAACCAAUUACUGUACCAAUUUCUAAUUGUAAACCAUGUAUCCAAAUUUCAAUUUGUAAUAUAACUCGAUUUAGUUAUAAAUAAAUCUUUAUUUUAUGUU
Molecule: long non-coding RNA, 670 nt
Organism: Raphanus sativus (radish)
Lineage: Eukaryota; Viridiplantae; Streptophyta; Magnoliopsida; Brassicales; Brassicaceae
Exons: 2
Source: RefSeq, a predicted model, not a curated record